This 472-nucleotide long non-coding RNA is filed under the name Glycine max (soybean). RNAcentral describes it as "long non-coding RNA (GMAX_LNC003855)". The record is from RNAcentral. Lineage: Eukaryota; Viridiplantae; Streptophyta; Magnoliopsida; Fabales; Fabaceae.
GGAGGUGGUGGGGGUCCACCCCCAGGAGGGCUAGGAGCACCAGGAACACCAGGGGGAGGUGGAGGAGGAGGACCUCGACCAACGGGAGGAGGUGGAGGAGGAGGACCUCGACCACCAGGAGGAGGUGGUCCUUGACCACCCGGAGGUGGUGGUGGAGGUGGUGCUCCAUACAUUGGAGGGGGUGGAGGAGGUGGUCCUCUCCCACCAGGAGGUGGUGGUGGUGGAGGUGGGAGAAGUGGGGCUCGACCACCAGGAGGAGGUGGGGCUCCAUACAUUGGAGGAGGUGGAGGAGGUGGUCCUCUCCCACUAGGAGGUGGUGGUGGUGGAGGUGGUGCUCCAUACAUUGGAGGAGGUGGGGGAGGUGGAGCUCCACUUGAUGGACGAAGGGGUGGUGGAGGUGGAGGUGGGGCUCCACUUGAUGGAGGAAGAGGUGGCGGUGGGGGAGGGGGGGCUCUAGACAAUGGAGGAGGUG